Molecule: ribosomal RNA, 427 nt
Filed under: uncultured bacterium
Lineage: Bacteria
Description: partial 16S ribosomal RNA
Rfam family: Bacterial small subunit ribosomal RNA
Source: RNAcentral
UGGGGAAUAUUGGACAAUGGGCGAAAGCCUGAUCCAGCCAUGCCGCGUGUGUGAAGAAGGUCUUCGGAUUGUAAAGCACUUUAAGUUGGGAGGAAGGGCAUUAACCUAAUACGUUAGUGUUUUGACGUUACCGACAGAAUAAGCACCGGCUAACUCUGUGCCAGCAGCCGCGGUAAUACAGAGGGUGCAAGCGUUAAUCGGAAUUACUGGGCGUAAAGCGCGCGUAGGUGGUUUGUUAAGUUGGAUGUGAAAUCCCCGGGCUCAACCUGGGAACUGCAUUCAAAACUGACGGACUAGAGUAUGGUAGAGGGUGGUGGAAUUUCCUGUGUAGCGGUGAAAUGCGUAGAUAUAGGAAGGAACACCAGUGGCGAAGGCGACCACCUGGACUAAUACUGACACUGAGGUGCGAAAGCGUGGGGAGCAAACA